Molecule: non-coding RNA, 204 nt
Filed under: Pseudomonas sp. OV226
Lineage: Bacteria; Pseudomonadati; Pseudomonadota; Gammaproteobacteria; Pseudomonadales; Pseudomonadaceae
Source: RNAcentral
AAAGUUCGAUACUGGUAAGAAAUGGCGAAUCAACCAAGCCCCAAGUCAUGCAUGUUGCAUCGUGAGGUGCAGGGUGAAGCGUUGACAGGGGACCGAUGGGCCAGCAUUGAGCCGCGUAAUCAGGAAUUCGAGAUGCCGAUGCUGUUAUGCAGCGACUGUUCACAGCCGCCAAAGCUUGACGGCAGACCGCGUGCUGAUUGAGCG